UACGGAGGGUGCAAGCGUUAAUCGGAAUUACUGGGCGUAAAGCGCGCGUAGGCGGCUUGUCACGCCGGGUGUGAAAGCCCCGGGCUCAACCUGGGAACGGCAUCCGGAACGGGCAGGCUAGAGUGCAGGAGAGGAAGGUAGAAUUCCCGGUGUAGCGGUGAAAUGCGUAGAGAUCGGGAGGAAUACCAGUGGCGAAGGCGGCCUUCUGGACUGACACUGACGCUGAGGUGCGAAAGCGUGGGUAGCAAACAGG
This 253-nucleotide unclassified non-coding RNA is filed under the name uncultured Halomonadaceae bacterium. RNAcentral describes it as "contains 16S-23S intergenic spacer region". It matches the Rfam family "Bacterial small subunit ribosomal RNA", at positions 524 to 776 of the family's 1533-position model. Lineage: Bacteria; Pseudomonadati; Pseudomonadota; Gammaproteobacteria; Oceanospirillales; Halomonadaceae. The record is from RNAcentral.